ACCUGUUCCCAUCCCGAACACAGAAGUUAAGCUCUUAUACGCCGAAGGUACUGCACUGGCAACGGUGUGGGAGACUAGGUAGCUGCCGGGU
Molecule: ribosomal RNA, 91 nt
Filed under: Clostridiales bacterium
Lineage: Bacteria; Bacillati; Bacillota; Clostridia; Eubacteriales
Source: RNAcentral